GUCAGCGAUUAUGGCAAAGGUGGUACACCUGGUCCCAUUCCGAACCCAGAAGUUAAGCCCUUUAGCGCCGAUGGUACUGCGGAGUAAGUCCGUGGGAGAGCAGGACGUCGCUGACC
Atopobium deltae is the source of this 116-nucleotide ribosomal RNA. The record is from Rfam. Lineage: Bacteria; Bacillati; Actinomycetota; Coriobacteriia; Coriobacteriales; Atopobiaceae.